This is a long non-coding RNA of Mastomys coucha (southern multimammate mouse), 972 nucleotides long. RefSeq lists it as uncharacterized. The transcript has 3 exons. Lineage: Eukaryota; Metazoa; Chordata; Mammalia; Rodentia; Muridae. The record is from RefSeq and is a predicted model, not a curated record.
UGACACUUGAACUUAGGAUCUGGGAUUGGCCAAGAUGGAAAUAAGUGGCAGGUUCUACAAAAUUGCAUCAGUGCAACAGGUCUCACAUGGAGGUUUAUUAAAAGAAAGAGAUUAGAUGGUGGAACCUCCAGGAGAAGCCUGUCUGUGAAAGGGGUUUCAAGGAAGAAGAAUUCAAAAUGGAGGUGCUUUGGUUCAAUUAAGCAGGUGUCAGGAGGCCAUCAGACACACCUACCCAGAAGACAGCUCUCAUCGGAAGCACCUCUGACAGCCCCCCAUCCUAACCCCGCCUCCCACUAGCUCCCACCCACCAAGUGAGCCAGAGGCUAAGCCACCCCCAAACCCUUCUUAACAGCUUAACUUCAAACCCCUGACUAAUGGAUGAUGUCAUAGCCAACCCCCUCGAGGUUCAAAGCUAAACCCAGAGACUCCCUUUCAAGGCUACGGGUCAAGUCUAAGAAGACAUACUCGCCUAGACCUCUGUCCUAAAGCUUCUCGCCUCUCCUUCAUCUGAAAGAGCUCCCCCCUCCUCCCGUCUUAUAUUCAAGCCAUCCGCUUGAUUGGUUGCAUGUGAUAAGAGAGUUCAGUACCGCCCCAGAGGGCAGGCAGCCAUGUCCGGACAGCACAAGAAACAGAGCCAGCAACUAAGGAAGUUGCUGUAGAGGUCUCAAGGUCACUCUUGACACCCUCCUUCAGGGCCAGCGGCCUUCUUGUGGCCUGGAAGAAGAGAUAGACAUGCCUGGGUGUCAGCAUGCUUAGGAAGUCUGCACAAGUGGAUUUCAACCAUGACAGAGUAGCAAAGAAGCCUGGACUAUAGAUGGAGGCUACGCUGGGCCUGGAGGACAUUUGCUGUACACAAAUAAGCCCACAGCAUCAAUGAUGGCACUGUUACCAUCAAUAAAGCAGUCAGAGGUGGCUCCCAUCAGCCUUUCCCCCUCACCUGAAUGGUGGCUGCCCUGCCACAAUGAACCAUGA